Long non-coding RNA from Pangasianodon hypophthalmus (striped catfish), 1454 nucleotides. RefSeq lists it as uncharacterized. The record is from RefSeq and is a predicted model, not a curated record. The transcript is spliced from 4 exons. Lineage: Eukaryota; Metazoa; Chordata; Actinopteri; Siluriformes; Pangasiidae.
CAUAUGCACACACACACACACACACACACACACACACACACACACACACACACACAGUGUAUACAGUAUAUACAUUAUACACAUAUAUUUUCUCUCCUGUAGUGAUGAACUGGCUGAAUAAAGUUGCAGAUGUGGGAAAAGGUAUCGCCGGUGGAGUCUGUCGAACAGUCAAUCUCAUCUAAUCCAAAUUGAACAGCGAGGGCUCCACUGAUCCAGACUGGAGAAACCAGGUGAAGCUCACACUCCCUAAAUCCACGGCUGUGUUCCAAAUCACACACCACUAGCUCUACACCACAUGCUGGAACUGAGGAUUAACCCUUUAUACGACUCUGGGAUUUUGUGAUGUGGAUUAUAGCUGCAUUAUAUUAAUAAAUCAUAAAAUUGAUUAGAAAAUAUUUAAUAUCACUUUCUAACCCUUUGGAAAGUAGCCAUAUAGUGAUAUAUAUUGAAUAUUGCACAUUUUCUGCACAGUUCUGUUGUGAUUAAUGAUGAGUAUUAGGAGUCGUGUUGAGCAGUGAAUGCAGCUGCAGCUCCCCCUAGUGUCAGGAUAUUUAACUGCAACUACACUGAGAAAAAAAAACCUUAAAAUAAAGUACAGUAUUAAGAGUGCAGUAUAAACCUGUGUGUGUGUGUGUGUGUGUGUGUGUGUGUGUGUACUCAUUGUUUAUUCAUUUCAGAAGAGAUCACACACUCAUGCAGUGUUAAUGCUAACAUUAGCAGACUGAAGUUUGCAGGACACACAAUUCACAGAGCCAGAAUUAUUUUUUUCUCAACAGCGUACCGCACCGACAUGAGGAUGAGUUAACAACUGGUAACGACUGGCAAUGAUGUUUUAACAGUUGUUAUUAAAGAAUAUGUAACCUUAAGAAAUAAGAUUAUGUCACUGAAUCACAGGAGGAAAGUUGCAUGAUGGGAAUGUGAGCUGAAUCUCAUCAUCACAUGGUGAGAGUGUGGAGAUUUAAUAAUCAGGUUUAAAUGAUAUUUUAUACUCACUCACGGCUGAUAUGCAAUGUUCCUGAACCUGGAAUUAGAGACGCUCCUGAGCGCUCAUCUCGAAAAUACAGUCGUAUGAGACUCCCCAAACCUCGAAUAUUAAUUACAAACUAAUAUCCUAACUAAGUACGUACGUAAUUUCCACUACAAACGCUAUAACACACAGAGAACCGCAGAACGCGCUCCAGAAUUCACGUCACUGAAGUCUCUACUUCCAGGUCAGGGAUCUGUCGAUCCAAAUCUCACUAACCAAUGACAGUAAACUGCUGUUAAGCCCCGCCCACAAGAGGUUUGUGCCAGAACGGCGAACGUAAACUUGCGGCGUGUAAAUGAAAAUUCUGAAAGUGUAAACGUAAACUCUUUCGCAUUAACGAAAAGGAAGCUUACAAAACUGUUAAUAAAGAACGCCGUUUAUUUGAAGACCAAGUUAAUUUUUUUUUUUUUCAGAGUGUCUUUCUUCA